This is a long non-coding RNA of Struthio camelus australis, 1118 nucleotides long. The record is from Ensembl. Lineage: Eukaryota; Metazoa; Chordata; Aves; Struthioniformes; Struthionidae.
AUAAAUUAAUCCAUUAAUUUGAAAUUAGUUGGUCGAGAUUUAAGUGUAGAGAUUGCAAUGAUAAUGAUAUGCUUCUCCCAUAUGAAGGAAAAGAUGAGGAUUUUUGAUUUAGUGAUACAAAAUAACAAUCCUAUAGCAAUUAAUAAAGGCCAAUUUAUCGUCCUGUCAGCUCAGCACUAAGAUAAUAAUGUAGGACUUUGUUUCCUGACAAAUAGUCAAAAGAGGUUUCCUUUUCCACUAUAGAUUCUUUUUGUAAUCAAUACAUGCUCUUAUUUUUUAACCCGACUGGCAUUACAGUAAACAGUUACUUCUUUCAAUUGGUUUUUAUAUGCAGGUUUUUACAGAACCUCACUUGAAAACAAAGGUUUGGGGUUUUUUUUUGUUUUGGGGUUUUUUUCUUCAAUAGAGAGGAGAACGUGUUCCAUUAAGAAUCACUUUGAUUCUUGUUGAAAUCUUAAUGUUAUUUCAAAGACUUACCACGUUUCAUCAGGAAAAAGAAAAAACAAAGCAAUACAUUUGGACAAGUGGGGGGAUCAGGUAAUGGUAUAAUACUAUGCCUAUUUUAAAACAGAGGUUUGAAAACGGUCCGGGUUCAAAGUUUCCCUUUUCUAAUAGCAUUGGCUAUUUGUAAAGAUGAUCACUUUUUUUUUUGUUUUUGUUCUUGUUGCACAGCCUGUGUAUCAGAAAAGCUUCUUUCAGAAAUGGUAUCAUGGAAGGAAAAGCCAGAAAGUGUAUUGCUUUAGGCACCUGUGAUACCUAAUGAAGAGCCUGCUCAGCCUAACUUCCUGGAGCCAACAGAGAGAAAUAAUUCCAGAGACCAAAGCAUUCCACCUACAAUCUGAGUGUAUAUAUGCAGGCCUGUGCAUCUUACGUUCUUGCAGCACAGAACCAUAGUUCCUCGGGUGGUCUAUAGGCCGCAUGCCAGACCAGACUGGAUUACAAAGCAGCAAAGCCAAGUGGCUGCACACCAAAGGAAGUUUUUCUGGAGAGUCAAGAUGAUCCUAUGGGCAUUCCACGAGUUUAGUAUUAUCUCUUUUGGGAAGCGAUGCUUUAAUAAAAUGUGCUGUUCUUCCACAAGCAAUCAACAGCAUAUAGAAACAUUUUGCUAUGACACGUAA